GUGAUGGCUCACACCUUUAAUCCCAACACCAGGGAGGUGGAGACUGGAUGUGACAUGUGACGUGAUUGGGUAGAGAGAGAAAGUUACGGUGGGAGAAGACAGGAUUCAGGAUUCAGUCUGAGGAGUCUUAGAGACAGGAUACCCAUAUCAGUCUGAGGAUUUUGUAGAGCUUAAGGAGUGGAUCUGGUCAGUGCCCUGGCUAGACCUGAUGAUGAAGGAUUGCUGAAACUUUGUCAGUGGGGCUGAAAAAUGGGGAGCCUGGAACUGGAGAACCAGAUGGAGGCUGCUUUCUACUCUGGACAACUUGCCCCAAUCAUCAGCAAGAAAUGAGACUUUCGUGAAAACAACCAAAUACACUGUUCUUUUACUUAUCUCUGACUAUACAAGUUACACAUGAAAGUGCAUAAACAUGGACGAUUCAGAGAGCUGGGAAUAAAUACGGUCACAGUGUACCUAAAUAAGGCAA
Molecule: long non-coding RNA, 466 nt
Organism: Arvicola amphibius (Eurasian water vole)
Lineage: Eukaryota; Metazoa; Chordata; Mammalia; Rodentia; Cricetidae
Exons: 2
Source: RefSeq, a predicted model, not a curated record